GAUGAACGCUGGCGGCGUGCCUAAUACAUGCGAGUCGAGCGAACGGACGAGAAGCUUGCUUCUCUGAUGUUAGCGGCGGACGGGUGAGUAACACGUGGAUAACCUACCUAUAAGACUGGGAUAACUUCGGGAAACCGGAGCUAAUACCGGAUAAUAUUUUGAACCGCAUGGUUCAAAAGUGAAAGACGGUCUUGCUGUCACUUAUAGAUGGAUCCGCGCUGCAUUAGCUAGUUGGUAAGGUAACGGCUUACCAAGGCAACGAUGCAUAGCCGACCUGAGAGGGUGAUCGGCCACACUGGAACUGAGACACGGUCCAGACUCCUACGGGAGGCAGCAGUAGGGAAUCUUCCGAAAUGGGCGAAAGCCUGACGGAGCAACGCCGCGUGAGUGAUGAAGGUCUUCGGAUCGUAAAACUCUGUUAUUAGGGAAGAACAUAUGUGUAAGUAACUGUGCACAUCUUGACGGUACCUAAUCAGAAAGCCACGGCUAACUACGUG
Molecule: ribosomal RNA, 497 nt
Filed under: uncultured bacterium
Lineage: Bacteria
Description: partial 16S ribosomal RNA
Rfam family: Bacterial small subunit ribosomal RNA
Source: RNAcentral